RNAcentral lists this ribosomal RNA (465 nucleotides) under uncultured bacterium. RNAcentral's name for it is "partial 16S ribosomal RNA". It matches the Rfam family "Bacterial small subunit ribosomal RNA", at positions 28 to 507 of the family's 1533-position model. The record is from RNAcentral.
GACGAACGCUGGCGGCGUGCUUAACACAUGCAGGUCGAACGGAAAGGCCCUGCUUGCAGGGUACUCGAGUGGCGAACGGGUGAGUAACACGUGGGUGAUCUGCCCUGCACUUCGGGAUAAGCCUGGGAAACUGGGUCUAAUACCGGAUAGGAGCCAUUUUUAGUGUGAUGGUUGGAAAGUUUUUUCGGUGUAGGAUGAGCUCGCGGCCUAUCAGCUUGUUGGUGGGGUAAUGGCCUACCAAGGCGGCGACGGGUAGCCGGCCUGAGAGGGUGGACGGCCACAGUGGGACUGAGAUACGGCCCAGACUCCUACGGGAGGCAGCAGUGGGGAAUAUUGCACAAUGGGCGCAAGCCUGAUGCAGCGACGCCGCGUGGGGGAUGACGGCCUUCGGGUUGUAAACUCCUUUCGCUAGGGACGAAGCUUUUUGUGACGGUACCUAGAUAAGAAGCACCGGCUAACUACGUG